Non-coding RNA from Cinara cedri, 526 nucleotides. The record is from the annotation of a GenBank genome assembly. NCBI's taxonomy places the organism in Eukaryota, Metazoa, Arthropoda, Insecta, Hemiptera, Aphididae.
GGUAUUGAUAUUGAUUAGAGGCCGUUGAAAUUCGGUCGCUGUAUUAAACUGUCGCUUCCGUAUAAUAGGGAUCUUUAAUUCGGUGGCGUGACGAAGACUGUUUUUUGAAAUCCGCGCCUCUGCGGAAAUCGGUGGGUGUGUCGUGGGUGGCUGAACGCGUAAUACAGUAUUAGAACCAUAUUAUAGAAUAGUGAGUUUAAACUCUUUGAAGUAAUAACAACAAUAAUUUAUAAUAGUAAUUUAUUACCGGUUUGCUCGUAAAAGAGGAGGUGACGGUGUUGGAGAUAAGUAUAUAAAACUGUUGGGCCUCACACAAAACGACUGUACUACAAGCCACUGUAAACUGUAAACUAUCUUUGAUUUUUAAGAACGUACUGGCAAUUAACAUGCCAUCUUUCUUUAUAGCUUAUUUACAACUAAGACUCGCUAAUCAGUGUCCGGUUCGACCCGCUCCACGUCUUUUGUAACUUGGUCUUCCCGCCUUAAACUUGGACGUUUCAAUUGGUCUUCUUGAAUACUAUAUUGU